AGGGUUUGACAUGCCUAGGAUCCUCCAGAAAUGGAGGAGUGCCUUUUUAGGAACUAGGUCAC
This 62-nucleotide ribosomal RNA is filed under the name uncultured organism. RNAcentral describes it as "partial 16S ribosomal RNA". The record is from RNAcentral.